ACGUCUUUUUCGAGCGUUAAUCGGAAUUACUGGGCGUAAAGCGUGCGCAGGCGGUUUCGUAAGACAGAUGUGAAAUCCCCGGGCUUAACCUGGGAACUGCGUUUGUGACUGUAGGGCUUGAGUGCGGCAGAGGGGGGUGGAAUUCCACGUGUAGCAGUGAAAUGCGUAGAGAUGUGGAGGAACACCGAUGGCGAAGGCAGCCCCCUGGGUCGACACUGACGCCCAUGCACGAAAGCGUGGGGAGCAAACAG
RNAcentral lists this ribosomal RNA (251 nucleotides) under uncultured prokaryote. RNAcentral's name for it is "partial 16S ribosomal RNA". It matches the Rfam family "Bacterial small subunit ribosomal RNA", at positions 525 to 775 of the family's 1533-position model. The record is from RNAcentral.